Long non-coding RNA from Megalobrama amblycephala (Wuchang bream), 978 nucleotides. RefSeq lists it as uncharacterized. The record is from RefSeq and is a predicted model, not a curated record. Lineage: Eukaryota; Metazoa; Chordata; Actinopteri; Cypriniformes; Xenocyprididae. The transcript has 3 exons.
CGAAUCCUGCGCCGAAUGAACUUCAGGAAUUCACCAUCAACAAAUGACUCACUUGCUGAACCGCGAGUUUUCCUUCUUUCAAUGCUCGUUUCAAAACGAGUAACUUUCCGAAGAUGGUCCUGCACAUUCUCUGGAUUACCAGCAUCUUCGGCAUAUUUGACACCUUUCCGACAAUGACUGUAUGAUUUUGAGGUCCAUCUUUUCACACUGAGGACAACUGAGGGACUCAAACACAACUAUUACAAAAGAUGACUUAUCGCCGGCUCGAGGAGAGAUGUUUUCUCCUGACAGGAAUCAGAAGCACAUUAUUAAAGAUGGAAACACAGCUGGGUCCAGAUCAUCGCCUCUGCCGUCCUCCAGGUGGACCGUUACUGUGCUGAUGAGAACACAUCUGAGGGCCACAGGAGGAAACAAGACCAGAAAGGUCAAAGAAAUUUUCUUUCUUUCUUUUUCUGUCUCUCUGCCCAUCCUUCUUUCUCUCUGUCCUUCUGUCUCAUUGACCAAAGGACGCUGCUCAGUUUAAUCUUUCUCAUGAACGUCCAGGUGCUCCUGUGUUUCCAGUGACUAUUUAAACUGGAUUCUACUGAUUAUUUGAAUUUAGAUUUGGCAUUUUAUUUCACCAUCUGCCUGGCGUGCUUUGCCUCUCAGUUCAUUAACUGUUCAUUUACACACUCCUUUUUCAUUCUCUCUGCUUCUCCCCAGUCUGCGAAUGAUUGUUUAUUAUCUCUGAUUCAGUUUUUAAUUAAAAUACUCCUCUGCUGAAGCUGCAGAUAGAUACAGGCCCAGCAGAACCCUCAGGAAAGAUGUGCUGGGACAUGCUCUGCUUAUCAGUCAAUCUGCAUUAUAUUACUUAUUAUUAUUGGUUCAUCCAAACAAAAUGCAAAAUAGAUUGCUACAUUUGUGUAGUUUAUAUUUGCGUUCAUGAGGAAGUCUCUCAUAGCCAAACUUUUCACAAUAACCAUAAUACUUCAGCUUAUU